This 301-nucleotide ribosomal RNA is filed under the name uncultured bacterium. Its description in RNAcentral is "partial 16S ribosomal RNA". It matches the Rfam family "Bacterial small subunit ribosomal RNA", at positions 509 to 807 of the family's 1533-position model. The record is from RNAcentral.
CAGCAGCUGCGGUAAUACGAAGGGGGCUAGCGUUGCUCGGAAUUACUGGGCGUAAAGGGCGCGUAGGCGGCACUGUUAGUCAGGCGUGAAAUUCCCGGGCUCAACCUGGGGACUGCGCUUGAUACGGCAGAGCUUGAGGAUGGAAGAGGGUCGUGGAAUUCCCAGUGUAGAGGUGAAAUUCGUAGAUAUUGGGAAGAACACCAGUGGCGAAGGCGACUGACUGGACAAGUAUUGACGCUGAGGUGCGAAAGCGUGGGGAGCAAACAGGAUUAGAUACCCCCGUAGUCCCUGUCUCUUAUAC